RNAcentral lists this microRNA (25 nucleotides) under Tribolium castaneum (red flour beetle). RNAcentral describes it as "tca-miR-137-5p". Its record names the gene tca-miR-137-5p. Lineage: Eukaryota; Metazoa; Arthropoda; Insecta; Coleoptera; Tenebrionidae. The record is from miRBase by way of RNAcentral.
ACGUGUAUUCUUGGGUAAUUAACAC